CCUGCCCCCUCCCCCGGGAUAGCCGCCCGAAAGGACGGGUAAUACCGGAUACCCCCGGGCGCCGCAUGGCGCCCGGGCUAAAGCCCCGACGGGAGGGGAUGGCUCCGCGGCCCAUCAGGUAGACGGCGGGGUGACGGCCCACCGUGCCGACAACGGGUAGCCGGGUUGAGAGACCGACCGGCCAGAUUGGGACUGAGACACGGCCCAGACUCCUACGGGAGGCAGCAGUGGGGAAUCUUGCGCAAUGGGGGGAACCCUGACGCAGCGACGCCGCGUGCGGGACGGAGGCCUUCGGGUCGUAAACCGCUUUCAGCAGGGAAGAGUCAAGACUGUACCUGCAGAAGAAGCCCCGGCUAACUACGUGCCAGCAGCCGCGGUAAUACGUAGGGGGCGAGCGUUAUCCGGAUUCAUUGGGCGUAAAGCGCGCGUAGGCGGCCCGGCAGGCCGGGGGUCGAAGCGGGGGGCUCAACCCCCCGAAGCCCCCGGAACCUCCGCGGCUUGGGUCCGGUAGGGGAGGGUGGAACACCCGGUGUAGCGGUGGAAUGCGCAGAUAUCGGGUGGAACACCGGUGGCGAAGGCGGCCCUCUGGGCCGAGACCGACGCUGAGGCGCGAAAGCUGGGGGAGCGAACAGGAUUAGAUACCCUGGUAGUCCCAGCCGUAAACGAUGGACGCUAGGUGUGGGGGGACGAUCUCCCCGUGCCGCAG
This 706-nucleotide ribosomal RNA is filed under the name uncultured bacterium. RNAcentral describes it as "partial 16S ribosomal RNA". It matches the Rfam family "Bacterial small subunit ribosomal RNA", at positions 125 to 851 of the family's 1533-position model. The record is from RNAcentral.